This 410-nucleotide ribosomal RNA is filed under the name Dorea longicatena. Its description in RNAcentral is "bacterial SSU rRNA". It matches the Rfam family "Bacterial small subunit ribosomal RNA", at positions 1132 to 1533 of the family's 1533-position model. Lineage: Bacteria; Bacillati; Bacillota; Clostridia; Lachnospirales; Lachnospiraceae. The record is from RNAcentral.
UGGGCACUCUGGAGAGACUGCCAGGGAUAACCUGGAGGAAGGUGGGGAUGACGUCAAAUCAUCAUGCCCCUUAUGACCAGGGCUACACACGUGCUACAAUGGCGUAAACAAAGAGAAGCGAACUCGCGAGGGUAAGCAAAUCUCAAAAAUAACGUCUCAGUUCGGAUUGUAGUCUGCAACUCGACUACAUGAAGCUGGAAUCGCUAGUAAUCGCAGAUCAGAAUGCUGCGGUGAAUACGUUCCCGGGUCUUGUACACACCGCCCGUCACACCAUGGGAGUCAGUAACGCCCGAAGUCAGUGACCCAACCGUAAGGAGGGAGCUGCCGAAGGUGGGACCGAUAACUGGGGUGAAGUCGUAACAAGGUAGCCGUAUCGGAAGGUGCGGCUGGAUCACCUCCUUUCUAAGGAA